RNAcentral lists this ribosomal RNA (506 nucleotides) under Spirulina sp. M2. RNAcentral describes it as "bacterial SSU rRNA". It matches the Rfam family "Bacterial small subunit ribosomal RNA", at positions 202 to 727 of the family's 1533-position model. Lineage: Bacteria; Bacillati; Cyanobacteriota; Cyanophyceae; Spirulinales; Spirulinaceae. The record is from RNAcentral.
AAAGAUUUAUCGCCUAGAGAGGAGCUCGCGUCCGAUUAGUUAGUUGGUGGGGCAAGAGCCUACCAAGACAGCGAUCGGUAGCUGGUCUGAGAGGAUGACCAGCCACACUGGGACUGAGACACGGCCCAGACUCCUACGGGAGGCAGCAGUGGGGAAUUUUCCGCAAUGGGCGAAAGCCUGACGGAGCAAUACCGCGUGCGGGAGGAAGGCCCUUGGGUCGUAAACCGCUUUUCUCAGGGAAGAAGUUCUGACGGUACCUGAGGAAAAAGCCUCGGCUAACUCCGUGCCAGCAGCCGCGGUAAUACGGAGGAGGCAAGCGUUAUCCGGAAUUAUUGGGCGUAAAGCGUCCGCAGGUGGUAUUGUAAGUCUGCUGUUAAAUACGGAAGCUCAACUUCCGAUAGGCAGUGGAAACUGCAAAACUAGAGUACAGUAGGGGUAGAGGGAAUUCCCAGUGUAGCGGUGAAAUGCGUAGAGAUUGGGAAGAACACCGGUGGCGAAAGCGCUCU